RNAcentral lists this microRNA precursor (66 nucleotides) under Nannospalax galili (Upper Galilee mountains blind mole rat). RNAcentral's name for it is "miRNA (ENSNGAG00000003810.1)". The record is from RNAcentral. Lineage: Eukaryota; Metazoa; Chordata; Mammalia; Rodentia; Spalacidae.
CACACAGGAUUUUUGCCAGUCAAGUUCCUGGCAGGACCCAGACUCUAGCCAGGGACUUGACUUCAA